Molecule: ribosomal RNA, 475 nt
Filed under: uncultured bacterium
Lineage: Bacteria
Description: partial 16S ribosomal RNA
Rfam family: Bacterial small subunit ribosomal RNA
Source: RNAcentral
GACGAACGCUGGCGGCGUGCUUAACACAUGCAAGUCGAACGGAAAGGCCUGCUUUCCCUUGUGGAUUGCGGGUACUCGAGUGGCGAACGGGUGAGUAACACGUGAGUGAUCUGCCCCCAACUUGGGUAUAAGCCUGGGAAACUGGGUCUAAUUCCCGAUAGGACUGCAGGGUGGUGCCUGUGGUGGAAAACGAUUUUCUAGUGGUUGGGGAUGAGCUCGCGGCGUAUCAGCUUGUUGGUGGGGUAAUGGCCUACCAGGGCGGCGACGGAUAGCCGGUCUGGGGGAAUGAGCAGCCACGCAGGCACCUAGGCGAGGCAGAGACGCGUACGGGAGGACGCAGUGGGGAAUCCUGGAGCAGGGAGGCAGCGCUGAUGAUGCCAGGCUGCGUGUGUUAUGCACCUUUUGACGUUGAGAAGCCCACUUAGCUGGAAGGGUGAUGACGGUAGUGGUAGAAGAAGCACCGGCUAACUACGUG